GACGAAGGGUGACUGACGGUACCUGGAGAAGAAGCACCGGCUAACUACGUGCCAGCAGCCGCGGUAACACGUAGGGUGCGAGCGUUGUCCGGAAUUAUUGGGCGUAAAGAGCUCGUAGGCGGUUUGUCGCGUCGGCUGUGGAAACCUACUGCUUAACGGUGGGCUUGCAGUCGAUACGGGCAGACUUGAGUUCGGCAGGGGAGACUGGAAUUCCUGGUGUAGCGGUGAAAUGCGCAGAUAUCAGGAGGAACACCGGUGGCGAAGGCGGGUCUCUGGGCAACAACUGACGCUGAGGAGCGAAAGCGUGGGGAGCGAACAGGAUUAGAUACCCUGGUAGUCCACGCCGUAAACGUUGGGCGCUAGGUGUGGGGCUCAUUCCACGAGUUCCGUGCCGUAGCUAACGCAUUAAGCGCCCCGCCUGGGGAGUACGGCCGCAAGGCUAAAACUCAAAGGAAUUGACGGGGGCCCGCACAAGCGGCGGAGCAUGCGGAUUAAUUCGAUGCAACGCGAAGAACCUUACCAAGGCUUGACAUAUACCGGAAACAUCUGGAGACAGGUGCCCCGCAAGGUCGGUAUACAGGUGGUGCAUGGUUGUCGUCAGCUCGUGUCGUGAGAUGUUG
RNAcentral lists this ribosomal RNA (620 nucleotides) under uncultured actinomycete. RNAcentral's name for it is "bacterial SSU rRNA". It matches the Rfam family "Bacterial small subunit ribosomal RNA", at positions 457 to 1077 of the family's 1533-position model. The record is from RNAcentral. Lineage: Bacteria; Bacillati; Actinomycetota; Actinomycetes; Actinomycetales.